GGGAUGAGUGUGAGUUAUGUAGUAUUUGUUUGUCCAGAUACAGGGAGGGGAUGGGGCAGGGCGCCAGAGUUCUUCCAUGCAUGCACAAGUUCCAUAAGGCCUGCAUCGAUAAAUGGUUUAACAUGUGCCGGAAAACUUGUCCAGUGUGCAGGUUUUCCAUGGGAGCUGAAGAAAAUUUUCAGAAAAGGGAGGAACUAACUGAAGAGAUGGUGAUAUGGUUUUCUUCCUUCCAUGUAGCUGGCUUCUAAGGGGUUCCCUUGGAUCAGGAUCAUUUGCAGUAUUCUUACGGUCUAUAUCUUCUGCAACAGAGAAAGAGUUCCCUUGUUUUUUGGCCACCUGACCUGCUAUAUCUAGCUUCUUGAAUACCCUUUUUAAAUUUGCACAGUAGCAUUUGCAAGAAAGGCAUUUGAUCUCCUCAUGUCACCAUCAUCCCUCG
Molecule: long non-coding RNA, 436 nt
Organism: Vitis vinifera (wine grape)
Lineage: Eukaryota; Viridiplantae; Streptophyta; Magnoliopsida; Vitales; Vitaceae
Exons: 2
Source: RefSeq, a predicted model, not a curated record